RNAcentral lists this ribosomal RNA (220 nucleotides) under uncultured Glomus. RNAcentral describes it as "partial small subunit ribosomal RNA". It matches the Rfam family "Eukaryotic small subunit ribosomal RNA", at positions 591 to 818 of the family's 1831-position model. Lineage: Eukaryota; Fungi; Glomeromycota; Glomeromycetes; Glomerales; Glomeraceae. The record is from RNAcentral.
CCAAUAGCGUAUAUUAAAGUUGUUGCAGUUAAAAAGCUCGUAGUUGAAUUUCGGGACCAAUAUGUCGGUCGUACUUUGUACGUACUAGCAUCAUUGGUUUCUCCCUUCUGAAGAACCACGAUGUCAUUAAUUUGGUGUCGUGGGGAAUCAGGACUGUUACUUUGAAAAAAUUAGAGUGUUUAAAGCAGGCUCGCGCUUGAAUACAUUAGCAUGGAAUAAU